AACACAUGCAAGUCGAGGGCAGCAUAAAAGUAGCAAUACUUGGUGGCGACCGGCGCGACGGGUGAGUAACGCGUAUGCAACCUACCUAGUCAGAGGGGAAUAACCCGGCGAAAGUCGGACUAAUACCGCAUAAAACAGGGGCACCGCAUGGUGAUAUUUGUUAAAGAAAUUCGCUGAUAGAUGGGCAUGCGUUCCAUUAGGUAGUUGGUGAGGUAACGGCUCACCAAGCCGACGAUGGAUAGGGGAACUGAGAGGUUGGUCCCCCACACUGGUACUGAGACACGGACCAGACUCCUACGGGAGGCAGCAGUGAGGAAUAUUGGUCAAUGGGCGGGAGCCUGAACCAGCCAAGUCGCGUGAAGGAAGAAGGAUCUAUGGUUCGUAAACUUCUUUUGCAGGGGAAUAAAGUGCAGGACGUGUCCUGUUUUGUAUGUACCCUGAGAAUAAGGAUCGGCUAACUCCGUGCCAGCCGCCGC
Molecule: ribosomal RNA, 476 nt
Filed under: uncultured bacterium
Lineage: Bacteria
Description: bacterial SSU rRNA
Rfam family: Bacterial small subunit ribosomal RNA
Source: RNAcentral